RNAcentral lists this ribosomal RNA (444 nucleotides) under uncultured bacterium. Its description in RNAcentral is "bacterial SSU rRNA". It matches the Rfam family "Bacterial small subunit ribosomal RNA", at positions 331 to 792 of the family's 1533-position model. The record is from RNAcentral.
CCAGACCCUACGGGAGGCAGCAGUGGGGAAUAUUGCACAAUGGGGGAAACCCUGAUGCAGCAACGCCGCGUGAGUGAGGAAGUAUUUCGGUAUGUAAAGCUCUAUCAGCAGGGAAUAGAAAAGAAGGUACCUGAAAAAGAAGCCCCGGCUAACUACGUGCCAGCAGCCGCGGUAAUACGUAGGGGGCAAGCGUUAUCCGGAUUUACUGGGUGUAAAGGGAGCGUAGACGGCAGUGCAAGUCUGGAGUGAAAGGCGGGGGCUCAACCCCCGGACUGCUCUGGAAACUGUACGGCUGGAGUGCGGGAGAGGUAAGUGGAAUUCCUAGUGUAGCGGUGAAAUGCGUAGAUAUUAGGAGGAACACCAGUGGCGAAGGCGGCUUACUGGACUGUAACUGACGUUGAGGCUCGAAAGCGUGGGGAGCAAACAGGAUUAGAUACCCGCGUA